This 378-nucleotide ribosomal RNA is filed under the name uncultured bacterium. RNAcentral's name for it is "bacterial SSU rRNA". It matches the Rfam family "Bacterial small subunit ribosomal RNA", at positions 521 to 896 of the family's 1533-position model. The record is from RNAcentral.
UAAGACGUAGGGCGCGAGCGUUGUCCGGAUUUAUUGGGCGUAAAGAGCUCGUAGGCGGCUCAUUGCGUCGUGCGUGAAAUUCCACCGCUCAACGGUGGGGCUGCGCACGAUACGGGUGGGCUGGAGUUCGGUAGGGGAGACUGGAAUUCCUGGUGUAGCGGUGAAAUGCGCAGAUAUCAGGAGGAACACCGGUGGCGAAGGCGGGUCUCUGGGCCGAUACUGACGCUGAGGAGCGAAAGCGUGGGGAGCGAACAGGAUUAGAUACCCUGGUAGUCCACGCUGUAAACGUUGGGCGCUAGGUGUGGGGGGCCUCUCCGGUUUCCUGCGCCGUAGCUAACGCAUUAAGCGCCCCGCCUGGGGAGUACGGCCGCAAGGCUA